Molecule: ribosomal RNA, 301 nt
Filed under: uncultured bacterium
Lineage: Bacteria
Description: partial 16S ribosomal RNA
Rfam family: Bacterial small subunit ribosomal RNA
Source: RNAcentral
CAGCAGCCGCGGUAAUACAGAGGAUGCAAGCGUUAUCCGGAAUGAUUGGGCGUAAAGCGUCUGUAGGCGGCUUGGUAAGUUAGAGGUGAAAGCCCAGGGCUCAACCCUGGAAUUGCCUUUAAGACUGCAGAGCUAGCAGGUGAGAGAGGUGAGUGGAAUUCCGAGUGUAGAGGUGAAAUUCGUAGAUAUCGGAAGGAACACCUGUGGCGAAAGCGGCCCACUGGACAAUAACUGACGCUGAUGCACGAAAGCUAGGGGAGCAAACAGGAUUAGAUACCCCGGUAGUCCCUGUCUCUUAUAC